UGCGCCCAUCGUCUAGCGGUUAGGACGCCGCCCUUUCACGGCGGAAACAGGGGUUCGAUUCCCCUUGGGCGUACCAU
This 77-nucleotide transfer RNA is filed under the name Bartonella quintana str. Toulouse. RNAcentral describes it as "tRNA-Glu". It matches the Rfam family "tRNA". From Rfam's summary of the family: Transfer RNA (tRNA) molecules are approximately 80 nucleotides in length. Their secondary structure includes four short double-helical elements and three loops (D, anti-codon, and T loops). Further hydrogen bonds mediate the characteristic L-shaped molecular structure. tRNAs have two regions of fundamental functional importance: the anti-codon, which is responsible for specific mRNA codon recognition, and the 3' end, to which the tRNAs corresponding amino acid is attached (by aminoacyl-tRNA synthetases). tRNAs cope with the degeneracy of the genetic code in two manners: having more than one tRNA (with a specific anti-codon) for a particular amino acid; and 'wobble' base-pairing, i.e. permitting non-standard base-pairing at the 3rd anti-codon position. The record is from RNAcentral. Lineage: Bacteria; Pseudomonadati; Pseudomonadota; Alphaproteobacteria; Hyphomicrobiales; Bartonellaceae.